CCUACGGGAGGCAGCAGUGGGGAAUAUUGCGCAAUGGGCGAAAGCCUGACGCAGCGACGCCGCGUGAGGGAUGAAGGUCUUCGGAUCGUAAACCUCUGUCAGCAGGGAAGAACGGCCCCUGUGCUAAUCAGCAGUGAAUUGACGGUACCUGCAAAGGCAGCACCGGCUAACUCCGUGCCAGCAGCCGCGGUAAUACGGAGGGUGCGGGCGUUAAUCGGAAUUACUGGGAGUAAAGCGCUCGUAGGCGGUAUGUCAAGUCAAGGGUGAAAUCCCCGCGCUCAACGUGGGAACUGCCGUUGAAACUGGCGAGCUGGAGUGUGUGGGAGGAUAGUGGAAUUCCAGGUGUAGGAGUGAAAUCCGUAGAUAUCUGGAGGAACAUCAGUGGCGAAGGCGACUAUCUGGCACAUAACUGACGCUGAGGAGCGAAAGCGUGGGUAGCAAACAGGAUUAGAUACCCGAGUAGUC
RNAcentral lists this ribosomal RNA (465 nucleotides) under uncultured bacterium. RNAcentral describes it as "partial 16S ribosomal RNA". It matches the Rfam family "Bacterial small subunit ribosomal RNA", at positions 338 to 795 of the family's 1533-position model. The record is from RNAcentral.